GACGAACCGUGCAAACGUUAUUCGGAAUCACUGGGUUUAAAGGGCGCGUAGGCGGCCUGUUAAGUCGAACGUGAAAUCCCCGGGCUCAACCCGGGAACUGCGUCCGAUACUGGUAGGCUUGAAUCCGGGAGAGGGAUGCGGAAUUCCAGGUGUAGCGGUGAAAUGCGUAGAUAUCUGGAGGAACACCGGUGGCGAAGGCGGCAUCCUGGACCGGCAUUGACGCUGAGGCGCGAAAGCCAGGGGAGCAAACAGG
Molecule: ribosomal RNA, 253 nt
Filed under: uncultured bacterium
Lineage: Bacteria
Description: partial 16S ribosomal RNA
Rfam family: Bacterial small subunit ribosomal RNA
Source: RNAcentral